Molecule: small nuclear RNA, 19 nt
Filed under: Arabidopsis thaliana (thale cress)
Lineage: Eukaryota; Viridiplantae; Streptophyta; Magnoliopsida; Brassicales; Brassicaceae
Description: snRNA_06544
Source: RNAcentral
UCCCACUGUCCCUGUCUAC